This 253-nucleotide ribosomal RNA is filed under the name uncultured bacterium. Its description in RNAcentral is "partial 16S ribosomal RNA". It matches the Rfam family "Bacterial small subunit ribosomal RNA", at positions 524 to 776 of the family's 1533-position model. The record is from RNAcentral.
UACGGGGGAGCAAGCGUUGUUCGGAUUUACUGGGCGUAAAGGGCGCGUAGGCGGUCGUGACAAGUCACUUGUGAAAUCUCCGGGCUUAACUCGGAACGGUCAAGUGAUACUGUCGGACUAGAGUACAGAAGGGGCAACUGGAAUUCUCGGUGUAGCGGUGAAAUGCGCAGAUAUCAGGAGGAACACCAGCGGCGAAGGCGGCGCUCUGGGCCGGAACUGACGCUGAGGAGCGAAAGCGUGGGGAGCAAACAGG